Molecule: long non-coding RNA, 1456 nt
Organism: Cucurbita maxima (winter squash)
Lineage: Eukaryota; Viridiplantae; Streptophyta; Magnoliopsida; Cucurbitales; Cucurbitaceae
Exons: 2
Source: RefSeq, a predicted model, not a curated record
CGACGUAGUUGGGUUUACUGUUGGAGUUUGAACUUCUCCUGGCGUUGUCGCUGGGUUUACAAUUGGGGCGUCAUCCAACUGAGUGAAAUGUACUGAAGGAGAGAAGAUCUUUCUGUCUUCUUCACUCUGCAGAGAGAUCGACCUAUCGACCUAUCAACCUGAUAUGCUUCAACAUUUCAAGCGUAACUCAACUAGACAAGACACGUACUCUCAGCUGGAAAUUCUAAGGUUCGAAUUCUUCUACUCCCAUAGAAGAAGUAUACUUAAAAACAAACUUAUCUUUUACUUGCUUGCUCUUCGAUUCUCAAACUAUAACAGUCUAACAAUGAGCAUGAAAAUGGCUACAAAAGAAACAAGCGUAAAUCGACCUUUACCUGAGAAGAGUAAGAACAAUAGUGCCAAAUUCCUGAGAAUGUUGGAACCCAUCACUCUAAGUUGUCUGUGAUUUGCUCUUCUGGGAUUUAGUAGUAAUAAUGAGAGAGAAGCCAAGCUUUAAUAAAACACAUCAAAUGAGAGAGCAGACCAAAACUGUUGCUGAAUAGUACUGAUUAUCUUUUCACUGUAAAUUAUUUUUAUUCAUAAAACUUAAGAAUCAAAGCUUUCUUGGAUCACCAAGAAGAAAAAGAAUAUAAGAAAACUUGAGAAAGCAGGCAAUGAAGUAGUUGGAUACCACAAGCAAUAGAAAGAGCCCACAAAAAAAAAAAAAAAAAAAAAAAAGGCAAAAUAGCAAUCUAUGGGGUUGGUUUAUGUUUUCAGAACAUCUUUUUUUGGAAAUCCUAAGGUUGUGAAUAUUGAUUCCCGUCGAAGCGAAACGGUUUGAGUUUUGUGAAAGAAGCCGAAGUCCCUUAUCGGAUUUGAACCAAUGAUCUACGCCUUAUUGAGUUAAAAAGGCCCAUUUGAUUCAAGUUCUGAACGAAGUCGUUCCUUCGUAAUUUUUCGAGCACCAUUUUUUAAGACGAAAAUAGGAAGACGAAGUAGUUAAGUGAAACUUGGGAGUCAGUGUGGAUAUUUGAUUCAAUUUCUGAACGAAGUCGUUCCUUCGUAAUUUUUCGAGCACCAUUUUUUAUGAACACUAAGUAGUCAAGUGAAACGUGGGAGUCAGAGUGGAUAUUUGAUUCAAUUUUUGUACGAAGACGUUCUUUCGUAAUUUUUCGAGCACCGUUUUUGAAGAAAAAAGGAACACAAAAUAGUAAAGUGAAACUUAGGAGUCGAUAUUUGAUUCAAUUUUUGAAUGGUUCCUUCGUAAUUUUUUUAGAACAAUUUUUGAAGAUGAAAAUACAAAAUAGUCGGAGUGAGUGUGGAGCAAGGGAAUUUUAUGUUUUUGGUCUGUAAUGAAGAAUAUUGUCUCCUAACUUUGCUGGAUGAUGGAUUCAAGAAUAUAAUCUUCAAACAUUCAAAUGGGAAUAAAUUUUGAUACCUUGUUAUAAAGAAUAUGCAGAGCCACAUGCUUUUAAUU